CGGCAACAGCUCAAAUUUGAAAUCUGGCUCUUUCAGGGUCCGAGUUGUAAUUUGUAGAAGAUGCUUCGGGUGAGGCUCUGGUCUAAGUUCCUUGGAACAGGACGUCAUAGAGGGUGAGAGCCCCGUACGGUUGGACGCCUAGCCUUUGUAAAGCUCCUUCGAC
Molecule: ribosomal RNA, 163 nt
Filed under: Helotiaceae sp.
Lineage: Eukaryota; Fungi; Ascomycota; Leotiomycetes; Helotiales; Helotiaceae
Description: partial large subunit ribosomal RNA
Rfam family: Eukaryotic large subunit ribosomal RNA
Source: RNAcentral